This 250-nucleotide ribosomal RNA is filed under the name uncultured bacterium. Its description in RNAcentral is "partial 16S ribosomal RNA". It matches the Rfam family "Bacterial small subunit ribosomal RNA", at positions 32 to 295 of the family's 1533-position model. The record is from RNAcentral.
AAUCAACGCUGGCGGCGCGCUUAACACAUGCAAGUCGAACGAGAAAGGGAGCAAUCCUGAGUAAAGUGGCGCACUGGUGAGUAACACGUGGAUAUCUACCUCUUGGUGGGGAAUAACCUGGGGAAACCUGGGCUAAUACCGCAUAAGUUCGUGAGAAGAAAGGCGCAAGCCGCCGAGAGAGGAGUCCGCGGUCGAUUAGAUAGUUGGCAGGGUAAAGGCCUACCAAGUCUAAGAUCGAUAGCCGGCCUGA